AGGAAAUGAGGGAAAUUGCUUCCUUGAGUCGUUACGAAGGCUUCGCUCCGUAGACAGACCGUGUAGUCCAAUGCUGCUGACCCUCCUCCACGAAGGUCCCUCGGAUUGGAAUGUUCCUCGCCGUCCGAUCGCCUUGAAUCUGGUCAAUCGAGCAGCUAGUUGAUGGCGGCUCGAUCCACUCCUGGAUCCUUCUUCCAUUUACCCACUGCCUACCACCAAGCACGGGUCAGGGAGCAUGGGAUCGACGACGGCACCCGAAAGCCAGGAUGGUUGGUUGAGGAAGAGGGUGAGGACAUGAGGAUUGAAGAGGGUUCCUAUGCAGACUGUUCUUUGCAAGGGCAAAGCAUCGUCAGGGCUGGUGGUGGUUGGAUCAUUAGAUGAUUCCCAGUAACUAGCUCUUUGUGCUUCUCAGGGUCGAAGUGUUAGUGGAGAUCGAAGUUCCAAGGAGGCCGCUCGCGAGAUGGCUGGGCUUCCUUCAAUACCGGUGCUAACCAGGAGCUGACAUGCGGUACAAAUUUUCUCUGGGUUGCAGGAUAGGCGAGGCGAUGAUCCAAAAAAUUGGUAAGAAUGGGGCUCCCACGUUCUCUCUUAUCCAAGAAAAUCAAUACAGCAAAAUGUGUGUUUAGUAAACCUUGCAUUGCUGCAAAAAUUAAUAUUAUGUUUGUGAAUCUAAUGCCAUGGUGGAUAUCAUGAAGAAGAGGGACAUGUUUGUUGCGUUUGAAGGUGUACUUAUGAGUGCAAGGGAGCCUCGAGUAUUUGGGUUUGUCCAGUACUUCAAUCCUGGUGAUGCUGCAGAUGAAAAAUACUACAUGGACGGACAGGUUAUUCGUGGCAAACAAGUAGCAGUCUUAUUUGCAUAACAGAACAAAAAGAAGCCUGCUAAGGGGUGUCCCGCGGCAGAUGCGCGCCCAAUGACGUUGUGGAGCUAUCAACUCCCACCCAGAUCGCCACAGGGAACAGCGAAGCAUCCUCCCUUCUCCCUUCCCGUUGCAUCUCCGCCUGGUGAGGUCCUCCUUUUGUUCAGUUAAUCCUCUACACAAACCCUUUUUGGAUACAUCAUUAGAGCUUUUUAUGCAGUUCUCUAUUUCUAGAAAUUUCAAUGCUAAUAAACUAGACACUAACCUCGAACAGUAACUUCUUGCAGGCUUGUCUUAGUGAGACAAACAUGCUGAAGCAAAGAUCCUUUUCCUUCUUUGUAUCCCUCAUUCUCUGUUUUUUCUCACAAUGUAGCACCUUGCUUCUCCACGGCAUUGAACCCGUGAUGGUGUGACUACAGGUGGAUUACAACAUCUUUACCUGAUAAACAUGGAAUAUACAAGAGGAAGGAGCAACUGCAGCAAGCAGUGAUGCUUCAGGCGCUGAUGUGAGGAUUACUGAAUUUGAGAGCAGAGGAAGAGAAGCGUGAAACUGUCAUGUUCGCUUCCGCCACUCAUGCCGAGCGGGAUGCAUGGUAGAGAGGAUUUCUUUUCCGCGAAAAUCGGAAGAGAGGAUUCAUGCAAAGGAAGAGAGGAUUUCUUUGCCAACAUAGAUGAAGAUGAGAGGAUUGGCCAACUUUGGACUCCAACGGCAGCGAUGAUGAUGAAGACUUGAACUAUGACUAUGAGUCCGAGUAGUAGAAGAAUCAUUUAUGUUUUUGUGCAUUUUCGACAAGGAUUAGAUUUGUUACAUAGAUUUGUUUCAAAUAGAACUCUAUGCUACCAAAUUUUAAUGUGUAUAUACAUUUCAUUGUAGACAGCAAGCCCCUGUUUUUCCAGGAGAUUAAAUUUAUUGUCAUAUGUGCUUGCCUAUAACUAAGCAACUAAACCA
Long non-coding RNA from Triticum aestivum (bread wheat), 1806 nucleotides. RefSeq lists it as uncharacterized. NCBI's taxonomy places the organism in Eukaryota, Viridiplantae, Streptophyta, Magnoliopsida, Poales, Poaceae. The record is from RefSeq and is a predicted model, not a curated record. The transcript has 7 exons.